Long non-coding RNA from Maniola jurtina (meadow brown), 351 nucleotides. RefSeq lists it as uncharacterized. The record is from RefSeq and is a predicted model, not a curated record. NCBI's taxonomy places the organism in Eukaryota, Metazoa, Arthropoda, Insecta, Lepidoptera, Nymphalidae. The transcript has 2 exons.
GAACUCGUGCUAAGGGCACUCUAGCACUAGUUUAAGCCCGCGAUUACACCUGUAAGUUUUACUCACUUUUUUGCAAAGGACAAUGCCCAUUCAAGUAUGAACAAAUGUACUGUCUUCAAGAUUUUUGUAUCACCAUCAAAUCAAAUUCUAUCUGUUCAAUGACAUCAUCAGAAUAUUUGUAGAAAAAAUGAACGCAAACGGUUUCCGCAUUUCAGAGAUAUUAACCAUAAAAAUGUCAAUAUUUUGAGGUUAGGUUCAGCUAGAAAGUCAAAAAAGGGUCUUUAUAUGCUUAACAAAAACAGUCAGUUUCAGAUUUUUUUCAACAAAAUAGUCGAGUGAUAGCAGAGAAUG